This 279-nucleotide ribosomal RNA is filed under the name uncultured bacterium. RNAcentral's name for it is "partial 16S ribosomal RNA". It matches the Rfam family "Bacterial small subunit ribosomal RNA", at positions 506 to 784 of the family's 1533-position model. The record is from RNAcentral.
UGCCAGCAGCCGCGGUAAUACGGAGGGUGCAGGCGUUGUUCGGAAUUAUUGGGCGUAAAGCGCGUGUAGGCGGUUCGUUAAGUCUGAUGUGAAAGCCCGGGGCUCAACCCCGGAAGUGCAUUGGAAACUGGCGAACUUGAGUACGGGAGAGGAAAGUGGAAUUCCGAGUGUAGGGGUGAAAUCCGUAGAUAUUCGGAGGAACACCAGUGGCGAAGGCGGCUUUCUGGACCGAUUCUGACGCUGAGGCGCGAAAGCUAGGGGAGCGAACGGGAUUAGAUA